RNAcentral lists this long non-coding RNA (2018 nucleotides) under Pandoravirus celtis. Its description in RNAcentral is "hypothetical ncRNA". The record is from RNAcentral.
GCCGGGCGGACACGACACCAGCGCGCCCACGAGGUCUGCGGUGCCGGACAAGAGCCCUGCCCUUGGAGCCAUUCGGCGGCUCGCUCGUCGUCGUUGCCUGUCGCGCGCGCCCACGCAUAACGUAUGGGCAUCCACGAGGAGCCGACGCCCCAGGCCUGGCGGUCGCGAGCAAUCGACAGCAGCGCAGCCCACAUGUCGCAGUAUUUGGCGAGAUCGACGCCGACGGGCGCAUGUGAUGCACACAGGUCGAGCGUCCACACGAGCCGUUCGAGCGUGUCGCCGUCGAUAUAGUACGAGUUGUAAAAGUCGGUGCUAUGAGAACAGGCGUAGGCGAUCAACGACUUGAGGACCGUCGGACCUGCGGCGGCGAUCUGCCGCGGCCACUUUGACGUGAUCCACAGCGCGCACGUCACGUCCCUGUGGGCGGCUCUAUCGAGCAGGGACACGAUCUCGGCGUCGUCGGCGGGCACGUAGCCGGCGCCCUGCGGAUCAAAGACCCAGUCGAGAAAGGCCGCGGGAUCUUUCGACCACCGACAGCCCUCGUCGUCGUACCAGGGCGAUGCGGCCAUCCAGGCCACCUCGCGCAGCGUACGCGGCAGGCCCAGGUUGGCCAUGCACCAGCGUGUGGUUUCGAUGGACCCGUAGCGACAGGCUCGCUUGGCCACAGCGCGCCCUAGAUCGCCCGUGAGGCUGGAGCGUCCGAGCGCCAGGAUGGACGCAUGGCCUCCGGCCGACGCGCUGAUCAGGCACUCUUUGGCACCCCCCGACGUCCACGUCCGCGCCAACCGCACAGCCAACGAUACCACGGUGGUGGCGGCGACGACGUGGUCGUCAUCAGACGCACCACCAGCGUCUCUAUUAGAGACAAUGUCAUUGGCGUCGUCGUAUUGGUCAUCGUCGUCGUCGCCAAGAAAUAGGUCAAUGUCGUCUUGCGAUGGGACCUGGUGACCACGCGAGUGGGGGUCUCGGUCCAUGGCGUCGUCAUUGCGAUUGCCGUCGUCCAUGUGGGCGGGGUCGACCACGACGCCCUGUGUCUCGCAAACAUCGUCGGGGGCACCAAUGAGGCCGUCUGCAGUGGCAGCAAUCUCCAAGAGCCGCGCGAGGAUGCGCGCCCUGCCGUCGCCGCCCAAGGACGACCACAGCCAUUUUAGGGAUUCGUCGCAUGGGUUCCACGCCGCCCAAAUGCGCAGCACGAAUUCAAACACGUCGGCAUGGUCACCCUCGGCAAAUUGGCCAAUGUCGCUCACGCGCGACCAGUCGAUGGGUCCCACCAACGAGAGGACCAACAUGGUCGUGGCCAUGUCGGUCCUGUUGGCGGCAACCGACAGGAGUUCUAGUCGCCGGCUGUCGGUCGGGCUGCGAGGGCCUCGGGUUGCGAUUGUCGGAUCGGGUUGCUGGUCGCUGCGAGGGACAAGUGUUUCGAUGGCGUAGCGCACCAACAGCGGCCGUGCCGAAGCCACGAGCGUCUUGACGACGGCGUCGUGCGACGCCCCGUGGCAGGCCAUGCACCAAGAUGCGAGGGCGUCGGGUCGAUGGUCCCAGAGGUCAGGCCUAGUGUGGACCCACUCGGCCACGGUCGAGGCCAGCACGAUCGCGCCGCGUCGCCAACGGCAGGCCAGCCCAUGAUAGCCGUCUUUGCCCACGAUCCGCACGAUCUUUGUCCAGUGCACGUCGUGGACGCGGAAAGACAGCGCACGGUCUUGGUGUUUGUCGCGCGGUCGGUCCUUGCUCUCGUCGCCCGCCGCGUCUAGGAUGGCCUUCCAUAGGCGACACACUGGUCGGGCGCAAAAGCGCCACCGCGCUGGCAGGCACUCGGUUAGAAUGAUGGUUGUGAUCUCAUCGGGCAGCACAUCAAAGGCGCCGAGUGCAGGCGUGUCGUGGUCGCCCAUGGUCGAAACAAGAUUGCUGCUCCCUCCCUGUGAUUCUUUUUUCUCUAUUUGUCCCCUCCUCUUUGGUUGCGUGUUGUUUUUUUGCACAGGCCACUAGAGCCCGCGAGACGGCGUGGAGAAGAAAAAAAG